Molecule: ribosomal RNA, 253 nt
Filed under: uncultured bacterium
Lineage: Bacteria
Description: partial 16S ribosomal RNA
Rfam family: Bacterial small subunit ribosomal RNA
Source: RNAcentral
UACGGGGGGGGCAAGCGUUGUUCGGAAUUACUGGGCGUAAAGGGCGCGUAGGCGGCCUGCUAAGUCGGAUGUGAAAUCCCUCGGCUCAACCGAGGAACUGCAUCCGAUACUGGCGGGCUUGAAUCCGGGAGAGGGAUGUGGAAUUCCAGGUGUAGCGGUGAAAUGCGUAGAUAUCAGGAAGAACACCUAUGGCGAAGGCAGCACUCUGGGACGGUACUGACGCUGAGACGCGAAAGCGUGGGGAGCGAACAGG